Molecule: ribosomal RNA, 577 nt
Filed under: uncultured bacterium
Lineage: Bacteria
Description: bacterial SSU rRNA
Rfam family: Bacterial small subunit ribosomal RNA
Source: RNAcentral
CCUACGGGAGGCAGCAGUAAGGAAUAUUGGUCAAUGGACGAAAGUCUGAACCAGCCAUGCCGCGUGAAGGAUGAAGGCCCUCUGGGUUGUAAACUUCUUUUAUCUGGGACGAAAAAAGCUCAUUCUUGAGCACUUGACGGUACCAGAGGAAUAAGCACCGGCUAACUCCGUGCCAGCAGCCGCGGUAAUACGGAGGGUGCAAGCGUUAUCCGGAUUCACUGGGUUUAAAGGGUGCGUAGGUGGGUCUGUAAGUCAGUGGUGAAAUCUCCGGGCUUAACUCGGAAACUGCCAUUGAUACUAUAGGUCUUGAAUCAUCUGGAGGUAAGCGGAAUAUGUCAUGUAGCGGUGAAAUGCUUAGAUAUGACAUAGAACACCAAUUGCGAAGGCAGCUUACUACGGGUGUAUUGACACUGAGGCACGAAAGCGUGGGGAUCAAACAGGAUUAGAUACCCUGGUAGUCCACGCCCUAAACGAUGGAUACUCGACAUCAGCGAUACACUGUUGGUGUCUGAGCGAAAGCAUUAAGUAUCCCACCUGGAAGUACGACCGCAAGGUUGAAACUCAAAGGAAUUGACGG